GUGCCAGCAGCCGCGGUAAUACAGAGGGUGCGAGCGUUAAUCGGAUUUACUGGGCGUAAAGCGUGCGUAGGCGGCUUUUUAAGUCGGAUGUGAAAUCCCUGAGCUUAACUUAGGAAUUGCAUUCGAUACUGGGAAGCUAGAGUAUGGGAGAGGAUGGUAGAAUUCCAGGUGUAGCGGUGAAAUGCGUAGAGAUCUGGAGGAAUACCGAUGGCGAAGGCAGCCAUCUGGCCUAAUACUGACGCUGAGGUACGAAAGCAUGGGGAGCAAACAGGAUUAGAUACCCUGGUAGUCCAUGCCGUAAACGAUGUCUACUAGCCGUUGGGGCCUUUGAGGCUUUAGUGGCGCAGCUAACGCGAUAAGUAGACCGCCUGGGGAGUACGGUCGCAAGACUAAAACUCAAAUAAAUUGACGG
This 412-nucleotide ribosomal RNA is filed under the name uncultured bacterium. RNAcentral describes it as "bacterial SSU rRNA". It matches the Rfam family "Bacterial small subunit ribosomal RNA", at positions 505 to 916 of the family's 1533-position model. The record is from RNAcentral.